RNAcentral lists this ribosomal RNA (476 nucleotides) under uncultured organism. RNAcentral describes it as "partial 16S ribosomal RNA". It matches the Rfam family "Bacterial small subunit ribosomal RNA", at positions 333 to 800 of the family's 1533-position model. The record is from RNAcentral.
ACACUCCUACGGGAGGCAGCAGUGGGGAAUUUUGGACAAUGGGCGAAAGCCUGAUCCAGCAAUGCCGCGUGAGUGAAGAAGGCCUUCGGGUUGUAAAGCUCUUUUGUCAGGGAAGAAACGGUGAGAGCUAAUAUCUCUUGCUAAUGACGGUACCUGAAGAAUAAGCACCGGCUAACUACGUGCCAGCAGCCGCGGUAAUACGUAGGGUGCAAGCGUUAAUCGGAAUUACUGGGCGUAAAGCGUGCGCAGGCGGUUUUGUAAGUCUGAUGUGAAAUCCCCGGGCUCAACCUGGGAAUUGCAUUGGAGACUGCAAGGCUAGAAUCUGGCAGAGGGGGGUAGAAUUCCACGUGUAGCAGUGAAAUGCGUAGAUAUGUGGAGGAACACCGAUGGCGAAGGCAGCCCCCUGGGUCAAGAUUGACGCUCAUGCACGAAAGCGUGGGGAGCAAACAGGAUUAGAUACCCCUGUAGUCCCAUGA